AGCAGCCGCGGUAAUUCCAGCUCCAAUAGCGUAUAUUAAAGUUGUUGCAGUUAAAAAGCUCGUAGUUGAAUUUCGGGGUCAGUAGAUUGGUCGUGCCACUGGUACGUACUGGUCUACUGGCUCCUCCUUCCUGAUGAACCGUAAUGCCAUUAAUUUGGUGUUGCGGGGAAACUGGACUGUUACUUUGAAAAAUUAGAGUGUUUAAAGCAGGCUAACGCUUGAAUACAUUAGCAUGGAAUAAUGAAAUAGGACGUUCGAUCUUAUUUUGUUGGUUUCUAGGAUUGACGUAAUGAUUAAUAGGGAUAGUUGGGGGCAUUAGUAUUCAAUUGUCAGAGGUGAAAUUCUUGGAUUUAUUGAAGACUAACUACUGCGAAAGCAUUUGCCAAGGAUGUUUUCAUUAAUCAAGAACGAAAGUUAGAGGUUCGAAGGCGAUCAGAUACCGCCCUAGUUCUAACCAUAAACGAUGCCAACCAGCGAUCAUUCUGAGUAACUAAUUUCAUGACUCGAAUGGAAGCUUACC
RNAcentral lists this small RNA (520 nucleotides) under uncultured Glomus. RNAcentral's name for it is "bacterial SSU rRNA". It matches the Rfam family "Eukaryotic small subunit ribosomal RNA", at positions 569 to 1092 of the family's 1831-position model. Lineage: Eukaryota; Fungi; Glomeromycota; Glomeromycetes; Glomerales; Glomeraceae. The record is from RNAcentral.